Molecule: non-coding RNA, 253 nt
Filed under: Extubocellulus spinifer
Lineage: Eukaryota; Bacillariophyta; Thalassiosirophyceae; Cymatosirales; Cymatosiraceae
Source: RNAcentral
CGCAGCAAACGUAUCCACCGACGAUAAUCGCCACGAGAUGACCAAGAGCAAUAGUUAAUGUACCAGCCACAAAGUACAGCAUUCCACGCCCCCAAACAUACUUGACAAAUAAUGCAUUCCUGUAGAUUGUGGCCUCGAUGCGAGAGAAGAAACUUAGACUACGACCGUACUCCAAAACAAUCAUGAUGAUGCCCAAAAUGAAGGUAUACACCUCGAAUAUUGCCGAUACCCAUUGGAACAUUACGACGUCAUG